Molecule: long non-coding RNA, 642 nt
Organism: Triticum aestivum (bread wheat)
Lineage: Eukaryota; Viridiplantae; Streptophyta; Magnoliopsida; Poales; Poaceae
Exons: 2
Source: RefSeq, a predicted model, not a curated record
AUUUCACACCCCACCCGGCCCGGUCAUAGACACAACUCCCCCUUGGACCAAAGCCGCCGCCGCCCUAUCGAUGCCCCAUCGCCGCCCCGUUGCCGCCCCUCGCCGGCACCAAGGCUAGGUCAAGGCCAAUUCUGGAGGCAGCAACGAGUUGGUGUGUGAUGUGGGCAUGGCCAACAAUGAAUUCUUAGACACUUUUGAGUAUGUCAUCAAGAGUGUGAAAGGGGAAAAUGAUGAUCUAAAGGGGAAGAUUAAAUACCCACACAAGGAUACUAUUCGGCCCGUUCAAGAGACAAAUCAGCUUAGGGACGGGAGGGAUAAGCUCGUCGAGGAUCAGGACAAACAGAAGGAGGAGAGGAGAUGCCUCACGGCUGAGAGGAUUGACCUGAAGAUGGACACAGAUCAUUUUAGAAAAGAAGGAGAGGGGGAUAGAAAGAAGCUUCUCCAGCUGGGCAUACUCCUUGAUGAAGAUUAGUUUUUAUGUAGCUAGCUAGUUCAUCUUAUUAGUUGAUGAUGAUCGAGUAACUAGAGUACCUGAGUGAACUUUUGUGAAGUUUAAUAUCGGCUUGUUGAGUUCAUGAGCCUCUUAUGUAAUGAUUAUCUAUUAAGUACAUUGUGUUGAUGUGUAUAUUGUGUUCAGUGGUA